Molecule: ribosomal RNA, 460 nt
Filed under: uncultured bacterium
Lineage: Bacteria
Description: partial 16S ribosomal RNA
Rfam family: Bacterial small subunit ribosomal RNA
Source: RNAcentral
CCUACGGGAGGCAGCAGUGAGGAAUAUUGGUCAAUGGACGAGAGUCUGAACCAGCCAAGUAGCGUGAAGGAUGACUGCCCUAUGGGUUGUAAACUUCUUUUAUAAGGGAAUAAAAUGUGCCACGUGUGGGAUUUUGUAUGUACCAUAUGAAUAAGGAUGGGUUAACUCCGUGCCAGCAGCCGCGGUAAUACGGAGGAUCCGAGCUUUAGCCGGAUUUAUUAGGUUUAAAGGGAGCGUAGGGGGCUUGUUAAGGCAGUUGUGAAAGUUUGCGGCUCAACCGUAAAAUUGCAGUUGAAACUGGCAGUCUUGAUUACAGUAGAGGUGGGCGGAAUUCGUGGUGUAGCGGUUAAAUGCUUAGCUAUCACGAAGAACUCCGAUUGCGAAGGCAGUUCACUGGACUGCAACUGACACUGAGGCUCGAAAGUGUGGGUAUCAAACAGGAUUAGAUACCCCAGUAGUC